Molecule: long non-coding RNA, 1418 nt
Filed under: Zostera marina
Lineage: Eukaryota; Viridiplantae; Streptophyta; Magnoliopsida; Alismatales; Zosteraceae
Description: long non-coding RNA (ZMAR_LNC000594)
Source: RNAcentral
UCUUAUUGAUUUAUACGAUAUGCAAAAUUAGAACAACAUUUCUUCUGUUUUUUUAUUCUUUAUUUUUACGUCGUUAGCUUGUCGCCAACAACCAACUUAAUUCCCAAAACACUCUUAUAUUUCAUACAAUUUGUAAUAUAUCAUUAAGGAUAAUUUCGGAAAUAAAAAACGGUAAUUCGCCUUCACUCUUCUUCUAUAUAUAAUUAUCCACGUCGGCCUUCCACGGUUGAGCACAAAGAAAAAUAAAAAAAAUUAAAUAGAGUAUGUAAGAAAACCUUAAACUUUUUGUAAAUAAGAAACAACGAUUUCAAAAGUAUAAGAGUAUAAAGUGAUACAAAUAAAGAACAACGGUUUCAAGUAAUUUAGAAAUAAUGGUUUCAAACAAUUCAGAAACGUUGGUUGAAACUAUGUUAAGAACAAGGUAUCAACUAAAUCAGGAACAAACGAUUUCAACAUUUCAGGAACAUUGGUUGAAACCAUUUUAGAAACAUUGGUUGAGACCAUUUGAAGAACAACGGUUUCAAACAAUUAAGGAACAAUGAUUUCAAUCAAUUCAGAAGCGUUGGUUGAAAUCAUUUUAGAAACAACGGUAUCAACCAAUUCAGAAAACAACAGUUUCAACCAUUUUAGGAACAUUGGUUGAAACCAUUUGAAGAACAACAGUUUCAUAUAGUUCAAGAACAAUGGUUUCAACCUAUCAAAGAAUGUUGGUUGAAACCACGGUAUCGACCAAUUAAGAAACAACGGUUUCAACAUUUCUAAGACAUUGGUUGAAGGCAUUUGAGGAACAAGAGGUGUCAACCGAUUGAGAAACAACCGGUUCACCUAUUUGAGGAACAAUGAUUUCAACGGUUUCAGGAACAUGUAUUUUUACCUCAGGAAUAUUUAUUUCAUCAAGUACAUAAACUAUUUUAUCAAACAAAAUUUAACCAAGAGGAUCAGAUUGAACAACGAUUCCUUAAAUUGAGAAGACGGUAAUAGAUUUGCAGAUGAAAAUAUAGAGAGUCAUACAUGACAAAAAAAUGAAUAUGAAGAAGAGAGUCACAUACCGACAGGGAGGUGAAAGUUGAAAAAAAUAGGUGAAAGUUAAAGAAAAUAGGUGAAAGUCGCAAUGGGUUGCAGCAACUUCGGCGAGAUGAAAAAAGAAAAAAAAAAAUGAAGACGUGUACAUGGUAGGUUGAAGGUAUGAAAAAAAGUAUGGAAAAAAAUUUGGAUAUAAAGUACAACUUUUAAAAAGAUUGUUGAAUGAUUAUUUUAGAAGAAAGAGUGGAUGUGUUCCCGGCGAGAUGAAUGAUUAUUGAAAAAAGAUUAGAUGUGUUUCCGGUGAGAUGAAUGAUACAAAACGUAAAUGGGUUUCCCCACGAGUUGAAAAAAAAGGGAAGAGGUGUAUGAAGAAAAAUGGGUGGAGGUGAGAGUAC